GGAUGAAGAACGCAGCGAAAUGCGAUAAGUAAUGUGAAUUGCAGAAUUCAGUGAAUCAUCGAAUCUUUGAACGCACCUUGCGCUCCUUGGUAUUCUGAGGAGCAUGCCUGUUUGAGUGUCAUUUAAUUCUCAAACUUUACCUAGUUUGCAAAAACUAGAUCAGGUUUGGAGUCUGGAAGUUGCUGGCUUUUUUUUUAAGCUAGCUCUUCUAAAAUAUAUUAGCAGAAUUAUUGCUACUCAAUAUGGUAUGAUAAUUAUCUAUACCGUUGAAAGUAAGCUUUCUGAUUUUGCUUCUAAUUGUCUACCAAGACAACCUUGAUACCUUUGACCUCAAAUCAGGUAGGACUACCCGCUGAACUUAAGCAUAUCAAUAAGCGGAGGA
Molecule: unclassified non-coding RNA, 382 nt
Filed under: soil metagenome
Description: partial contains 5.8S ribosomal RNA, internal transcribed spacer 2, and large subunit ribosomal RNA
Rfam family: 5.8S ribosomal RNA (bases 2-121)
Source: RNAcentral